Molecule: ribosomal RNA, 435 nt
Filed under: uncultured bacterium
Lineage: Bacteria
Description: partial 16S ribosomal RNA
Rfam family: Bacterial small subunit ribosomal RNA
Source: RNAcentral
AACGAACGCUGGCGGCAGGCCUAACACAUGCAAGUCGAGCGGACAUCUUCGGAUGUUAGCGGCGGACGGGUGAGUAACGCGUGGGAACGUGCCCUUUGCUUCGGAAUAGCCUCGGGAAACUGGGAGUAAUACCGGAUGUACCCUUUGGGGGAAAGAUUUAUCGGCAAAGGAUCGGCCCGCGUUGGAUUAGGUAGUUGGUGGGGUAAUGGCCUACCAAGCCGACGAUCCAUAGCUGGUUUGAGAGGAUGAUCAGCCACACUGGGACUGAGACACGGCCCAGACUCCCACGGGGAGCAGCAGUGGGGAAUCUUAGACAAUGGGGGAAACCCUGAUCUAGCCAUGCCGCGUGAGCGAUGAAGGCCUUAGGGUUGUAAAGCUCUUUCACCGGGGAAGAUAAUGACGGUACCCGGAGAAGAAGCCCCGGCUAACUCCGUG